Long non-coding RNA from Motacilla alba alba, 634 nucleotides. RefSeq lists it as uncharacterized. Lineage: Eukaryota; Metazoa; Chordata; Aves; Passeriformes; Motacillidae. The transcript has 3 exons. The record is from RefSeq and is a predicted model, not a curated record.
UCUGUUCUGACAACACUGGCUUCUCAUCCACGGCUUAACAAGGCUGAGAUCAAUCACUAAUUCACAAACCUCCUUAUGGGCAAGUGCUUGGACUGAGAAAAAGAGCCAUGGUCUGUAAACACCAGCAAUUCCCCAGUCCCAUGAAAGAAGAUCCAGCUAUCAAUGUACAGGGGAGCUUUGAUGAAUUUCCCAAGAGCAUGGCCAGAUACUCUCCUACAGAGAAACAGCAGGCUUUAAUGGCAAGCCAGAAGGAGCUGCCUUCCUUGCCAUUAAUGCCACCUGAGGAUUGAAAACCCUAGGAGGAGCUUCAUGUCCAUCCAUCAAAGGCAACACAAAGAGAGAGACUUCAGGAGGUCAGAUGUUGAAAAACCAUGAAAAGCUCACAUUUCCCUGGAGUGCUCUGAGUUUUAUUCACCUCCUUACUCUGCACCUCCUCUCAACUGCCCUGUAUCAUGGCAACCAGCUAAUGGGACUGUGAAUUAAUAAAAAUAAGCUCUGCAACCAGAAAUAAGUGAGUAUUAGAUAUUUUCCCUCAUUUGUGACUCUCAACCUUGCAAGUCUUUUGGGUGGUUUUUCUUUUCCUGUUCCUGCCCCUUUUCUCUUGAGGUUCUACAGGGGUUGAGACCCAAGCAAA